This 693-nucleotide long non-coding RNA is filed under the name Sorghum bicolor (sorghum). Its description in RNAcentral is "long non-coding RNA (SBIC_LNC018791)". The record is from RNAcentral. Lineage: Eukaryota; Viridiplantae; Streptophyta; Magnoliopsida; Poales; Poaceae.
GACCAGAAGUAAGAUGCGGCUAUCAGCAACGACUCGUUUCUGUGCAUAUCGGCAAUGGACAGCCUGAUGCAUUGAGCUAAUUUCCUCUCACCCCAUUGAAUUUCAUAAGAGUUGCUGACCCUCAAGAACCAGUCUUUCCAUCCUACAGUAGGGCUAGGCCAAGAACGAAAGGUGUCUUUCCAUAGAUCUAGAGUAAAGUUUUCAGCUCUAAAGGGAAUCCUGUUGGUUUCUGCGUUGAUGAGGUCGGUUGGAUCUGGAUCCCCUAGGGGGCCGAGACACUGAAGAUGCGGUUGAUCGGUAGGGAUGACAAUUUUGUUGGAUAAUUCCUGGUGUUUUGGGGAAUAAAAAUACAAAGAAAAAGGGGGAAGGAAAAUAUUCGGUAAGGUAAAUUGCAGAUGAACAGGAAUGCAGGAAAAAGGUACAAUGGAUGAGAUGAAAGUCUGACCUCGGGGACGAUGAAACCGACGGCCAUCUUGUCGUGAAGGUGGGCGCUGGAAGACGCCGGAGUUGACGAAGAAGGAUGCUUGUCGGAGAUCUUGAGGGUUGAGAAGGGCGCCGCCGCUGGAAAAGUAAAGUUGGAUGGCAGGAUGGUGUAGUGGGAAAGGAGUACCCAAGAAGGAGCUAUUUAUAGGGCAAGAUGGACAGGGGCAAAUCUGACUUAUUUCUUUGCCACAUCCGAGAAACCCGAGGUAC